This 961-nucleotide ribosomal RNA is filed under the name uncultured Clavulina. Its description in RNAcentral is "eukaryotic LSU rRNA". The stretch from base 582 to 961 matches the Rfam family "Eukaryotic large subunit ribosomal RNA", at positions 1 to 372 of the family's 3401-position model. Lineage: Eukaryota; Fungi; Basidiomycota; Agaricomycetes; Cantharellales; Hydnaceae. The record is from RNAcentral.
AUUAACGAAUUGUAAUUGGAGUUGAUGCUGGCAGGCUUGGCUGCAUGUGCUCGCUCCUAACAAUCUUCAUCCAAACACCUGUGCACAUUUAGAGAGGGUCUCCGAGUCCUCCUUGGAGUCCCUUCCUCUCAUUACACACUUUAUUUCAAUGUUGAACGUGAUUGUGCCGUAAGGCCUUAAUAUUAAUACAACUUUUAACAACGGAUCUCUUGGCUCUCGCAUCGAUGAAGAACGCAGCGAAAUGCGAUAAGUAAUGUGAAUUGCAGAAUUCAGUGAAUCAUCAAAUUUUUGAACGCACCUUGCGCUCCCUGGUAUUCCGGGGAGCACGCCUGUUCGAGUGUCGUGAAAUUCUCAAACCGGGAUGCUUUUUUUUGUUUCUCGGCUUGGUGUUGGGCUUUGCAGUUCCUUUGAUUGGGAUGGCUGGCCUUAAAAGCAUUAGCUGGCUUUUCAUGUGGCAUUGGUUCUACUCAGCGUGAUAAUGAUCUGACCGCCGAGGACAUCUUUCGAGAUGGCCAAUUCUCAUUUGGGCUGCUUCUAAUUUUGGUAGAGCAGAUUCUGAAUCUGUUCCACUUUUCAGCUUUUGACCUCGAAUCAGGUGGGACUACCCGCUGAACUUAAGCAUAUCAAUAAGCGGAGGAAAAGAAACUAACAAGGAUUCCCCUAGUAACGGCGAGUGAAGCGGGAAGAGCUCAAAUUUAAAAUCUGGCAGUCUUUGAUUGUCCGAGUUGUAAUCUAGAGAAGCGUUUUCCGCGCUGGACUGUGUACAAGUUUCCUGGAUACGGAACAUCAUAGAGGGUGAGAAUCCCGUCCUUGACACAGACUCCCUAGUGCUUUGUGAUGCGCUCUCGACGAGUCGAGUUGUUUGGGAUUGCAGCUCAAAAUGGGAGGUAAAUUCCUUCUAAAGCUAAAUAUUGGCGAGAGACCGAUAGCGAACAAGUACCGUGAGGGAAAGAUGAAAAGC